This 473-nucleotide ribosomal RNA is filed under the name uncultured delta proteobacterium. RNAcentral describes it as "bacterial SSU rRNA". It matches the Rfam family "Bacterial small subunit ribosomal RNA", at positions 400 to 863 of the family's 1533-position model. The record is from RNAcentral. Lineage: Bacteria; Deltaproteobacteria.
CGUGAGUGAUGAAGGCUUUCGGGUCGUAAAGCUCUGUCAAGUGGGAAGAACCUGUGAAGCGUUAACAUCGCUUUGCACUGACGGUACUACUGAAGGAAGCACCGGCUAACUCCGUGCCAGCAGCCGCGGUAAUACGGGGGGUGCAAGCGUUAUUCGGAAUCAUUGGGCGUAAAGGGCGCGUAGGCGGCCUGGUGAGUCAGAUGUGAAAGCCCGGGGCUCAACCCCGGAAGUGCAUUUGAUACUGCUAGGCUUGAGUAUGGGAGAGGGAAGUGGAAUUCCUGGUGUAGAGGUGAAAUUCGUAGAUAUCAGGAGGAACACCGGUGGCGAAGGCGACUUCCUGGACCAAUACUGACGCUGAGGCGCGAAGGCGUGGGGAGCAAACAGGAUUAGAUACCCUGGUAGUCCACGCAGUAAACGUUGAUCACUAGGUGUAGCGGGUAUUGACCCCUGCUGUGCCGCAGUUAACGCAUUAA